Molecule: small nucleolar RNA, 94 nt
Organism: Eutrema salsugineum
Lineage: Eukaryota; Viridiplantae; Streptophyta; Magnoliopsida; Brassicales; Brassicaceae
Rfam family: Small nucleolar RNA R38
About the family: snoR38 is a C/D box small nucleolar RNA conserved across yeast, human, Arabidopsis and rice. It is encoded in the intron of elongation factor-1 gamma in both pombe and cerevisiae. snoR38 guides the methylation of 2'-O-ribose sites in 28S rRNA.
Source: Rfam
GGUUGUGGAUGAUGAGAAUAAUUUAAAAAAAAACAGUUAUCCCUGUCUGAGGAUUUAAUCCCGUUGAUGAUUCAUUUUGUAAUCUGACACAACA